Molecule: ribosomal RNA, 253 nt
Filed under: uncultured bacterium
Lineage: Bacteria
Description: partial 16S ribosomal RNA
Rfam family: Bacterial small subunit ribosomal RNA
Source: RNAcentral
GACGGAGGGUGCAAACGUUGUUCGGAAUUACUGGGCGUAAAGCGCGUGUAGGCUGCUUCGCAAGUCGGAUGUGAAAGCCCUGGGCUCAACCCAGGAAGUGCAUUCGAAACUGCAGAGCUGGAGUCCUGGAGAGGAAGGCGGAAUUCUCGGUGUAGAGGUGAAAUUCGUAGAUAUCGAGAGGAACACCGGUGGCGAAGGCGGCCUUCUGGACAGUGACUGACGCUGAGACGCGAAAGCGUGGGGAGCAAACAGG